This 887-nucleotide ribosomal RNA is filed under the name uncultured bacterium. RNAcentral describes it as "bacterial SSU rRNA". It matches the Rfam family "Bacterial small subunit ribosomal RNA", at positions 9 to 917 of the family's 1533-position model. The record is from RNAcentral.
AAGUUUGAUCCCUGGCUCAGGACGAACGCUGGCGGCGUGCUUAACACAUGCAAGUUGUGCGACAGUCAUUUGAAGUAGCAAUACGGAAGAUGAUAUGGAGCAGCGGACGGGUGAGUACAACAUGAGAAGCUAUCCUUUAACGGGGGACAACGUUUAGAAAUGGACGCUAAUACCCCAUAAGCCGAGAGGUUAAAGCAGCAAUGCGAUGGAGGAGGCGCUCGUGCCCUAUCAGCUAGUUGGUGAGGUAACGGCUCACCAAGGCGACGACGGGUAGCCGGCCUGAGAGGGCGACCGGCCACACUGGAACUGAGAUACGGUCCAGACUCCUACGGGAGGCAGCAGUGGGGAAUAUUGGGCAAUGGGAGAAAUCCUGACCCAGCAACGCCGCGUGAACGAAGAAGGCCCUUGGGUCGUAAAGUUCUUUUGUGCGGGAAGAAGGAAGUGACGGUACCGCACGAAUAAGCCCCGGCUAACUACGUGCCAGCAGCCGCGGUAAUACGUAGGGGGCGAGCGUUGUCCGGAAUUACUGGGCGUAAAGGGCACGCAGGCUGUGCCGUAAGUCGGCUGUAAAAUGAUGCGGCUUAACCGUGUUAAGCAGUCGAAACUGCGGUGCUGGAGUACCAGAGAGGCAAGUGGAAUUCCCAGUGUAGCGGUGAAAUGCGUAGAUAUUGGGAAGAACAUCGGUGGCGAAGGCGACUUGCUGGCUGGUAACUGACGCUCCUGUGCGAAAGCUAGGGGAGCAAACGGGAUUAGAUACCCCGGUAGUCCUAGCGGUAAACGAUGAAUGCUGGGUGUGCGAGUAGAGAUACUGGCGUGCCGUAGUUAACGCGAUAAGCUUCCGCCUGGGGAGUACGGUCGCAAGAUUGAAACUCAAAGGAAUUGACGGA